ACAGUGCUUGCUGUAUUGUACUUACUACCUUGCCUUCAUCAGGGAUGGAACUGCAUUUUUGCUAGUUGCUGGCAUUAGAUCUGUACCCAUUCCGCUAAAGACCUGAAAUGAUUUACAGAAGAAUCCCAGUGGUGUAGACGGAUCGUCAGCAUGGCCAGAGAGCGCAUGGACGCGGAAGUUUUCUGUGGAUUUCCAGAGUUGCUACAGGAGAAGAUGAGAAAGGCCAAGAUUGCUACUGGCACUGUCCCUUCUGUGCUAUUAUCUGUGGAUGUGAUUUGCUCCAGCUCUCAAACAGACAACUGUCUGCAUGAUGGUGUGGGGACGAAGCCAGCACCCAAAGCCACCAGACUCCCUCAAGUGGAAGGGCCGUGAUCACUCUCCUGUCACUCCUAAAGGAGAAAAUGUAUGCAAUUCAGACUCUGCGACCCAGCCGGGGUAAACCAAGUAGCACCUGAACUCUCUUCCAGCAGUCAGAAGAAACCACAUUUGCAAUGUUUCUGAGAUUUGUCAGAAUUGGAAGGACUAAACCCGAGGAAGAUAAUGGGUGUGGAAAUGGGGAAUGGAGCCCUCUGAAUAGAAGGCUGCAUAUUUCCUUGGGCAGCACACUGUAAUUCAGGACGUCCACAGGCAGAUGCUGUUCUGGCGGCUACUCCCCUGGGCCCUCCCGGGGACUCAUUUGUGCAGUGUGUACAGCACAGCGCCCUCUGGCGGGUUUAUCUGGCACUACCAACACAGGAUGGCUCUGCCGCAAAUGAACUCUAAAUCAGAAAGACCCAGAAAUCAGCCCUGGCAAGACUUUUCAUAUGACUUGGUGUCACAUGUCCAUUUGGAGCCCCAUGUACCCACACUUUAAAUUGUCACUUGUAAUAUGUCAACAAGGGACAGAAGGGUCCACGGGGCACCUUAUAGAGG
This 912-nucleotide long non-coding RNA is filed under the name Fukomys damarensis (Damara mole-rat). RNAcentral's name for it is "lncRNA (ENSFDAG00000028172.1)". Lineage: Eukaryota; Metazoa; Chordata; Mammalia; Rodentia; Bathyergidae. The record is from RNAcentral.